Molecule: long non-coding RNA, 168 nt
Organism: Rhopalosiphum padi (bird cherry-oat aphid)
Lineage: Eukaryota; Metazoa; Arthropoda; Insecta; Hemiptera; Aphididae
Exons: 4
Source: RefSeq, a predicted model, not a curated record
UGUGUUAAUAGAAAUAUUAAAAUCUGAUGGGUUCAUUCAUGAAAAUGGAAUAGAUAAUUAUGACUUUUCCAUAGAACAAACCUAUUUUAUUAAUCCAUAUACCACGUAUCUUGUUAACGAGGCUUAUAAAUUGGCCAAUAAAAUUGAAGGAAUAUUUGACUGGUGUAA